Molecule: transfer RNA, 78 nt
Filed under: Candidatus Eiseniibacteriota bacterium
Lineage: Bacteria; Candidatus Eiseniibacteriota
Also listed under: 3 other names
Description: tRNA-Arg
Rfam family: tRNA
About the family: Transfer RNA (tRNA) molecules are approximately 80 nucleotides in length. Their secondary structure includes four short double-helical elements and three loops (D, anti-codon, and T loops).
Source: RNAcentral
GCGCCUGUAGCUCAGUUUGGAUAGAGCAACGGACUUCUAAUCCGUAGGUCGCUGGUUCAAAUCCAGCCAGGCGUACCA